Molecule: ribosomal RNA, 497 nt
Filed under: uncultured bacterium
Lineage: Bacteria
Description: partial 16S ribosomal RNA
Rfam family: Bacterial small subunit ribosomal RNA
Source: RNAcentral
GAUGAACGCUGGCGGCGUGCCUAAUACAUGCAAGUCGAGCGAACAGACGAGGAGCUUGCUCCUCUGACGUUAGCGGCGGACGGGUGAGUAACACGUGGAUAACCUACCUAUAAGACUGGGAUAACUUCGGGAAACCGGAGCUAAUACCGGAUAAUAUAUUGAACCGCAUGGUUCAAUAGCGAAAGACGGUUUUGCUGUCACUUAUAGAUGGAUCCGCGCCGCAUUAGCUAGUUGGUAAGGUAACGGCUUACCAAGGCAACGAUGCGUAGCCGACCUGAGAGGGUGAUCGGCCACACUGGAACUGAGACACGGUCCAGACUCCUACGGGAGGCAGCAGUAGGGAAUCUUCCGCAAUGGGCGAAAGCUUGACGGAGCAACGCCGCGUGAGUGAUGAAGGUCUUCGGAUCGUAAAACUCUGUUAUUAGGGAAGAACAAAUGUGUAAGUAACUAUGCACGUCUUGACGGUACCUAAUCAGAAAGCCACGGCUAACUACGUG